RNAcentral lists this long non-coding RNA (2881 nucleotides) under Brassica napus (rape). RNAcentral's name for it is "long non-coding RNA (BNAP_LNC019258)". The record is from RNAcentral. Lineage: Eukaryota; Viridiplantae; Streptophyta; Magnoliopsida; Brassicales; Brassicaceae.
GAGAAAGCGACGUUUUAAUUUUCUUUUUCCUAAAAAUCGAAAAGACAAAAGCAAUGUGGAGAAGAUCAGCGUCGUUCAUCCUCGACGACGAACGGCGACGAACCUCGAACUCACCUCCCAUGGCAGACAACACCACGCGAGCCCCUUUCCAAAACCCUGACGCCAUCUCCGCUUACUACCAAACCCGAGCGGCUCACCACGGCGUCAUCACAAGCGACUGGCUAGCCCAAGCUCAAGCCGCCGUGGGCGGCGUCUCCGGCGAGGAGCAUCCCGACUCAUCAGUCGCCGAGCUCGGAAAGGAGAAGACUUUCAAUGUAAUCGAGGAGUUCAACGGCUGGAGGAAACAGCCGGAUCUGGCGGAAGCCGUCGCGGCGAUAAGAGCUUUAGCUGCGGUUAUCCGAGCGGGACAUCUUCGUCAGCAUCAUCUCCUCUUCUUACUCUGUCUCGUUUCUUGUAUGCCACUUUGGAUAUGUCUGCUUCUGAUUCCACUUCAUCUCUUCUUGUCUCCAUCAAUCCGAAGGUGGUGUUCUCAACUUUGAUUCAUCCGGUUGCUGUUUUAAAAUUGUGGUUUUUUGUGUGUUAAUUUUCCUGGAUUGAUCUGGAACUGUUUCAAAUUAGGUUAAAGUUUUUAUUUUUUCAGUGGAUUUCGUUUCAUAUCUUCUUAUGAGUCACUUCCACUUCGCCUAUGUCAUUUCUUUUUAUGAGUCACUUUUAAUCAUUGUAGAUUUUGUUUACAUGUGCUCUGUCUAGUGAAAUCAUGAACAUAAUCUGUGAGUAUCAUAGAGUUGAUAGUUAACUGUUGAUAUUGUUACCUAUCAUAAAAACUCUUUAUUUAGAGUCAUAAACCCCUAUCAUUGAAUGACUCUUAUGCCUCAGGGUAUCAAGGGUUUGCAUCGCACAAUUGCAGCUGAAAUAGAAUCCCGUGAUGGUUUUAAUCUUCCUCAAAAGGCAGCCGAACCUUCAAAGACCACACCAGAUGCUUUCCACUGUAAAAGCCCUCGCUUCGGACAGGUAAAAAAAAAAAAAAAAACUUCACAAAACGUACAAGUUUUUUUGAAAAAUAUAUAAGCUGAUUGUUUUUACACUCACUGUGGUUAAUUAGGUUCCUGGAACAUGGCACUUCAGACACACAAUCCUUCCGCAACAAGAAAACAAGGUUCCAGCCGCAGUGAAUCGUCACAGAGAGAUGCACAGCAGCUCCGGUAAGAGUCCAGCCGCCGCCAAGCAACCCGCGGCCAAGAGUGCCAAAAAGGUUUCCUCCAAGAGCUCCAAAAAGAAACCCGCCAAGAGCGCCGGCGGCGGCAAGGGCUCCUCCGGCACAUUGUUUCCGAAACGUAGCAAGUUCCCUAAACACCACCGAGGAAGACUAAGAGGUAUAUCUUCAGGCGAUAAUCGUAUCUGUUUCGGAAGAUACGCGCUUCGAACACUUGCACCGGCCUGGAUCACGUCUAGGCAGAUGGAAGCGGCGAGACGAGCCAUGGUGCGGCACGUGCCGCGUAGCGCGAAGAUUUGGAUACGUAUGUUUCCGGACAAGGCGGUUACGGGGAGACCGUGCGAGGUACGUAUGGGUGGUGGGAAAGGACCUCAGGAGUAUUGGGUCGCUGUGGUUCAGCCAGGUAAGAUUCUUUAUGAGAUGGCUGGUGUGCCCGAAAGUGUAGCUAGAAAAGCUAUUACAGUAGGUGCUUCCAAAAUGCCUAUAAAGACUCAGUUCAUUUUUAAUGAAAAAACUAUAUAACAUUCUUGGAGGAUGACAAGAUUGUAAGUUUUAUUUUUCUUGAUAAACAGUUUUUUUUUUUUUUUACUUUCAAUAAAAGAAGGGAGUCAAGAAAUGAUAUUUGAAUGCAGCAUGUAUUCAUCACAACAUGAGCUAGUUAUCAAUUCAAUGGAAUAUGUACUGGUCUAAGGUCUUAUUGGCUUUGUCUUUGAGAGCUCUAUAUUAAGCAAGUAUUGUAUAUAUGUUUAUGGCUAAUACGUGUGAAUGAAUGUGUGUGUAAGUGAGGAAUAAUCAUACAGUGAAUGGCCUAAAAAUCAUUAGAUUAUCCUCACCAUCUGAUACACAAUUGUAGAAAAAUUAAGAUUAGUGGGACAGCAGUCAAACUAGAUCACGUACAACACUAAUAUACAAGAGUUUCAAUCUCUCUUUCUUUCUUUAACUCAAACGUAUAUAGUUUGCUACCCAAAAAGUCUCUUGAUUAAGUUCUGACAAGCCGUAGAAGCACUGUAGUUUAUUGGUUAAAGUUUAAAGUUUUUACGAUUCGAUUCUUAUACUAUGCAAUUUCUUGCAGAUUAUAUGAUGCGAAGCUUAUUGGAGGUUCCAGAGUACUUACUCUGUUGGCAGAGCCGUUCGUUGUGGUCGUAUGCUGUGCAGAGAGCCUGUCCAUCGAAGAUGUCGUACAUGCAGAACCGUCUGUCGAUCCAAGUGUUUCAGAGAUGACUUUAUCGUGGAAUCCUUAUCCGUGGAGCUGUUGAUCAUAUCUAAUAGAAUUAGAUAUUAUACGAUGACGUAAGGUGUUACUUAGCUCCUACAACUAUACGAUGCAUCUUCAAAAAAAAAAACUAUACGAUGCAAGAAGAAUCGAAAAUAAUCAUUGGCUUAUUAAUGGGCCUAAUCUGACCCAGAACUGAAUAAAACAUUUUUUUUCUCGAGAAAGCGACGUUUUAAUUUUCUUUUUCCUAAAAAUCGAAAAGACAAAAGCAAUGUGGAGAAGAUCAGCGUCGUUCAUCCUCGACGACGAACGGCGACGAACCUCGAACUCACCUCCCAUGGCAGACAACACCACGCGAGCCCCUUUCCAAAACCCUGACGCCAUCUCCGCUUACUACCAAACCCGAGCGGCUCACCACGGCGUCAUCACAAGCGACUGGCUAGCCCAAGCUCAAG